CCAGGAGCUACUCUUCCUCUUCUCCUCUUUUACAGGAAAACUCUCUUAACUUCCUUCUUUGGUUCACAACUUCAUUCCUGUUGAGAGACCACGAACUCUACAUCUGACAUCUAACAGGUUGGGAGUUAUUUUCCCCAUAGCAACAUGAGAUGGGAGAUGAAGAGGUUCAAAGAAAACUGUCUUUUACCCUUUCAGUUUAAAGAAGAAUGGACACAUGUAGAAAUAUGAUUGCACAAAAAAUAUACAGCUUAAUAACAACAGAUAAGGGGCCACCCAGUUACACCUGUCUGUUCAGCCUCUCCUUGGGCUCUGUGCAGCAUUUCCUCCUCCCAGAUGUGGGGCAGAGCCCUUCAGGGAUAAGAACAUUUGAGGAGGAAAGGAGAAGAGAGAGUGGCUUCUCUCAGUCUAAUAUUUUACUUCCAGGGUUCAAGCUUCUGGGACUCACCUUGGGGAAGGAGAAUUCUGGCUUCUGUGGAUCAUUUUGGAGAAGUCAGAAAGGAAGGUUUCUCUUGUCGUGA
RNAcentral lists this long non-coding RNA (518 nucleotides) under Fukomys damarensis (Damara mole-rat). RNAcentral describes it as "lncRNA (ENSFDAG00000032650.1)". Lineage: Eukaryota; Metazoa; Chordata; Mammalia; Rodentia; Bathyergidae. The record is from RNAcentral.